UAGGGAAUCUUCCGCAAUGGGCGAAAGCCUGACGGAGCAACGCCGCGUGAGUGAUGAAGGUCUUCGGAUCGUAAAACUCUGUUAUUAGGGAAGAACAAAUGUGUAAGUAACUAUGCACGUCUUGACGGUACCUAAUCAGAAAGCCACGGCUAACUACGUGCCAGCAGCCGCGGUAAUACGUAGGUGGCAAGCGUUAUCCGGAAUUAUUGGGCGUAAAGCGCGCGUAGGCGGUUUUUUAAGUCUGAUGUGAAAGCCCACGGCUCAACCGUGGAGGGUCAUUGGAAACUGGAAUACUUGAGUGCAGAAGAGGAAAGUGGAAUUCCAUGUGUAGCGGUGAAAUGCGCAGAGAUAUGGAGGAACACCAGUGGCGAAGGCGACUUUCUGGUCUGUAACUGACGCUGAUGUGCGAAAGCGUGGGGAUCAAACAGG
RNAcentral lists this ribosomal RNA (429 nucleotides) under Actinomycetes bacterium. Its description in RNAcentral is "Actinobacteria bacterium partial 16S ribosomal RNA". It matches the Rfam family "Bacterial small subunit ribosomal RNA", at positions 355 to 776 of the family's 1533-position model. Lineage: Bacteria; Bacillati; Actinomycetota; Actinomycetes. The record is from RNAcentral.